CUUUUAUAAACUAUUUGUUUCUAAUGAACUGAUAUGAUUUGGAAUAAAAACUAAAGCAACUAAACUUUUUUUCUCUCUUCUGCCUAUUUGCAACUUAGCCUUGUAAAUACAUAACCUUUCUGUUUCAGAUUUAGAUGUGCUAAUAAAUUCCCCUACAAUUUCGUGUGUAGCUUUCUUUGAAGAGGUAAGUAAUUUGCUACUAUUUUUACACAUUUGAUUCAGUCUCAGAAAUAUAAUACUGUUUGAGCCUGUGAGAUUCCUACUUGGCUCCUAGGACUUGCAUCUGCCUUUCCUGGGGCUUUCUGGUCAUCCUCCCUUUCUGAUUCUUAUUCCACUUAAGUGAAACUACUCAUUCCUGAACUUUAAACACUCAUAUUGAGAGGGGAAGGAGAGAGAGAGAGAAGGUAAGUUAUUUCAAAUUACUCUUGGCCUCCAUUCAACAGUUCUGAUAGACCCAGAUAUUUAUUUUGGGUCCUGGACAAGUCAGGACCUGAAUAUGUCAUAAUUGGCCAUGUGAGAUUGAUCUCAGACUUAGUCUGUGCUUUGUUUUCUCUUCCUUUUUAAAGAGGGCCAAGAUGACAAGUGAGAGGGAGUAACAUAACCUGUUGCCCUUUGAUUUCCCUCCUACUGCUGCUUCCCUUGGUAAAAACAACAAAAACAAGGGAGUACGAUCUGUGCCAUGCACUUAGGGAGUCUUAAUGGAUUGGAGCAGAUGAUUCAAUGUACUUUCCAUUUUUGAGAUCCAAUAAAAUCUAUGAAACCGUAACUUUGUUUGCAAGAAAAUGUGAUCUCCUCUCCUGGAGUUACAAUAAGGAAGAGAACUAUAGAAGCUGAAUUUCACAAACCUGUAUGUGGCUCUGCUUCCAUUUCCGGUGAGGUAACUGAGAUGCAUCGGAUAAGGGGUCAGGUGUAGAACAACAGCACAGAUUGCCUGAGAAAUUUGAAGGAAAACCAGAUUCUCAUAUCCUGACACAUGACACUGGAUCUCUUUCCAUUUCCUUCAUGAAACGUUUUCUGUCCUCUAAGAAGCUGAGGAUUUCUUGAGCCCCUUGUCUUGACGUGGAUUGUGUUCUUACGGGAAACGUUUUGAACACACAGUAAGGGAAGCUCCUCUUUGCAUCUUCACCUUUGCUCUCUCCCGGCAUCCGGGGCAUCUCAGCAGAGAGGAGGAGAGACAAGGUUUUUACAACAGGAACGUCAAGAGGAAAGAGUCAGUAUUCAGUCUCUGACAUCCAAUUACAUGAUUUGGGAUCAACAGCAGCACAAUAGAUUUUGAAAGCCAGGUUUUGUGAGGACAAAAGGAUUUCCUAAAUGCCUUUAUGUUCCUUUUCAACAAAAAUGAAGCAGGUCAGGUGAACUCAGGAGCUGAAUUUCUUCAAAACUGUAGGAAGAUGUGACUUCUUUUCCCUGAGAACACGAGGCUGGCUGUGUGAGGUGAGAGGAGCGGAGGAAGUGAAAAUCCCACAGGCCACCCCAAGCCUGGGGCCCUGGUGAGUGCUUGGUAACUUCUUACCCACCUGACCUGCAGACACUCCCGGUGAGAGCACAGUCGGAGGGCUUUCCCAUCCUGGUGACUCUGGGCAUUCUGGGCUAAAUUUCUAGCAUUCUGGGCUAAAUUUCUCCUCAUUGAAGUAUGAAUUCAGGAAGUCAGAAAAAUCCAAAACAGAUCAUCCACCCACAAUCUCACUCCUCAGCUUGAAACUCCAAAUUUGGAAAAUGGUCGGAAUUCAUUCCCACUUUGUUUACAUCCUGUGUGUCUGUUUCAGGCUGAUUUUCCUGCAGCUGUGACCCAAACUCUGUGCUAUUAUAUUCUGAAGAUAUAAACUUGGUCCUCUUCCAGGGCCAC
RNAcentral lists this long non-coding RNA (1846 nucleotides) under Canis lupus familiaris (dog). Its description in RNAcentral is "lncRNA (ENSCAFG00845015735.1)". The record is from RNAcentral. Lineage: Eukaryota; Metazoa; Chordata; Mammalia; Carnivora; Canidae.